RNAcentral lists this ribosomal RNA (721 nucleotides) under Enterobacter hormaechei. Its description in RNAcentral is "bacterial SSU rRNA". It matches the Rfam family "Bacterial small subunit ribosomal RNA", at positions 47 to 758 of the family's 1533-position model. The record is from RNAcentral. Lineage: Bacteria; Pseudomonadati; Pseudomonadota; Gammaproteobacteria; Enterobacterales; Enterobacteriaceae.
CCUAACACAUGCAAGUCGAACGGUAACAGGAAGCAGCUUGCUGCUUCGCUGACGAGUGGCGGACGGGUGAGUAAUGUCUGGGAAACUGCCUGAUGGAGGGGGAUAACUACUGGAAACGGUAGCUAAUACCGCAUAACGUCGCAAGACCAAAGAGGGGGACCUUCGGGCCUCUUGCCAUCGGAUGUGCCCAGAUGGGAUUAGCUAGUAGGUGGGGUAACGGCUCACCUAGGCGACGAUCCCUAGCUGGUCUGAGAGGAUGACCAGCCACACUGGAACUGAGACACGGUCCAGACUCCUACGGGAGGCAGCAGUGGGGAAUAUUGCACAAUGGGCGCAAGCCUGAUGCAGCCAUGCCGCGUGUAUGAAGAAGGCCUUCGGGUUGUAAAGUACUUUCAGCGGGGAGGAAGGUGUUGAGGUUAAUAACCUCAGCAAUUGACGUUACCCGCAGAAGAAGCACCGGCUAACUCCGUGCCAGCAGCCGCGGUAAUACGGAGGGUGCAAGCGUUAAUCGGAAUUACUGGGCGUAAAGCGCACGCAGGCGGUCUGUCAAGUCGGAUGUGAAAUCCCCGGGCUCAACCUGGGAACUGCAUUCGAAACUGGCAGGCUAGAGUCUUGUAGAGGGGGGUAGAAUUCCAGGUGUAGCGGUGAAAUGCGUAGAGAUCUGGAGGAAUACCGGUGGCGAAGGCGGCCCCCUGGACAAAGACUGACGCUCAGUGCGAAA